This 2353-nucleotide ribosomal RNA is filed under the name Escherichia coli. RNAcentral describes it as "partial 23S ribosomal RNA". It matches the Rfam family "Bacterial large subunit ribosomal RNA", at positions 604 to 2925 of the family's 2925-position model. The record is from RNAcentral. Lineage: Bacteria; Pseudomonadati; Pseudomonadota; Gammaproteobacteria; Enterobacterales; Enterobacteriaceae.
CCUUUUGUAUAAUGGGUCAGCGACUUAUAUUCUGUAGCAAGGUUAACCGAAUAGGGGAGCCGAAGGGAAACCGAGUCUUAACUGGGCGUUAAGUUGCAGGGUAUAGACCCGAAACCCGGUGAUCUAGCCAUGGGCAGGUUGAAGGUUGGGUAACACUAACUGGAGGACCGAACCGACUAAUGUUGAAAAAUUAGCGGAUGACUUGUGGCUGGGGGUGAAAGGCCAAUCAAACCGGGAGAUAGCUGGUUCUCCCCGAAAGCUAUUUAGGUAGCGCCUCGUGAAUUCAUCUCCGGGGGUAGAGCACUGUUUCGGCAAGGGGGUCAUCCCGACUUACCAACCCGAUGCAAACUGCGAAUACCGGAGAAUGUUAUCACGGGAGACACACGGCGGGUGCUAACGUCCGUCGUGAAGAGGGAAACAACCCAGACCGCCAGCUAAGGUCCCAAAGUCAUGGUUAAGUGGGAAACGAUGUGGGAAGGCCCAGACAGCCAGGAUGUUGGCUUAGAAGCAGCCAUCAUUUAAAGAAAGCGUAAUAGCUCACUGGUCGAGUCGGCCUGCGCGGAAGAUGUAACGGGGCUAAACCAUGCACCGAAGCUGCGGCAGCGACGCUUAUGCGUUGUUGGGUAGGGGAGCGUUCUGUAAGCCUGUGAAGGUGUACUGUGAGGUAUGCUGGAGGUAUCAGAAGUGCGAAUGCUGACAUAAGUAACGAUAAAGCGGGUGAAAAGCCCGCUCGCCGGAAGACCAAGGGUUCCUGUCCAACGUUAAUCGGGGCAGGGUGAGUCGACCCCUAAGGCGAGGCCGAAAGGCGUAGUCGAUGGGAAACAGGUUAAUAUUCCUGUACUUGGUGUUACUGCGAAGGGGGGACGGAGAAGGCUAUGUUGGCCGGGCGACGGUUGUCCCGGUUUAAGCGUGUAGGCUGGUUUUCCAGGCAAAUCCGGAAAAUCAAGGCUGAGGCGUGAUGACGAGGCACUACGGUGCUGAAGCAACAAAUGCCCUGCUUCCAGGAAAAGCCUCUAAGCAUCAGGUAACAUCAAAUCGUACCCCAAACCGACACAGGUGGUCAGGUAGAGAAUACCAAGGCGCUUGAGAGAACUCGGGUGAAGGAACUAGGCAAAAUGGUGCCGUAACUUCGGGAGAAGGCACGCUGAUAUGUAGGUGAAGCGACUUGCUCGUGGAGCUGAAAUCAGUCGAAGAUACCAGCUGGCUGCAACUGUUUAUUAAAAACACAGCACUGUGCAAACACGAAAGUGGACGUAUACGGUGUGACGCCUGCCCGGUGCCGGAAGGUUAAUUGAUGGGGUUAGCGCAAGCGAAGCUCUUGAUCGAAGCCCCGGUAAACGGCGGCCGUAACUAUAACGGUCCUAAGGUAGCGAAAUUCCUUGUCGGGUAAGUUCCGACCUGCACGAAUGGCGUAAUGAUGGCCAGGCUGUCUCCACCCGAGACUCAGUGAAAUUGAACUCGCUGUGAAGAUGCAGUGUACCCGCGGCAAGACGGAAAGACCCCGUGAACCUUUACUAUAGCUUGACACUGAACAUUGAGCCUUGAUGUGUAGGAUAGGUGGGAGGCUUUGAAGUGUGGACGCCAGUCUGCAUGGAGCCGACCUUGAAAUACCACCCUUUAAUGUUUGAUGUUCUAACGUUGACCCGUAAUCCGGGUUGCGGACAGUGUCUGGUGGGUAGUUUGACUGGGGCGGUCUCCUCCUAAAGAGUAACGGAGGAGCACGAAGGUUGGCUAAUCCUGGUCGGACAUCAGGAGGUUAGUGCAAUGGCAUAAGCCAGCUUGACUGCGAGCGUGACGGCGCGAGCAGGUGCGAAAGCAGGUCAUAGUGAUCCGGUGGUUCUGAAUGGAAGGGCCAUCGCUCAACGGAUAAAAGGUACUCCGGGGAUAACAGGCUGAUACCGCCCAAGAGUUCAUAUCGACGGCGGUGUUUGGCACCUCGAUGUCGGCUCAUCACAUCCUGGGGCUGAAGUAGGUCCCAAGGGUAUGGCUGUUCGCCAUUUAAAGUGGUACGCGAGCUGGGUUUAGAACGUCGUGAGACAGUUCGGUCCCUAUCUGCCGUGGGCGCUGGAGAACUGAGGGGGGCUGCUCCUAGUACGAGAGGACCGGAGUGGACGCAUCACUGGUGUUCGGGUUGUCAUGCCAAUGGCACUGCCCGGUAGCUAAAUGCGGAAGAGAUAAGUGCUGAAAGCAUCUAAGCACGAAACUUGCCCCGAGAUGAGUUCUCCCUGACCCUUUAAGGGUCCUGAAGGAACGUUGAAGACGACGACGUUGAUAGGCCGGGUGUGUAAGCGCAGCGAUGCGUUGAGCUAACCGGUACUAAUGAACCGUGAGGCUUAACCUUACAACGCCGAAG